Long non-coding RNA from Misgurnus anguillicaudatus (oriental weatherfish), 722 nucleotides. RefSeq lists it as uncharacterized. NCBI's taxonomy places the organism in Eukaryota, Metazoa, Chordata, Actinopteri, Cypriniformes, Cobitidae. The record is from RefSeq and is a predicted model, not a curated record.
UGAUCUAUAGCUGGACAGUGCUAGAAAAUAUUACGGUUCCGUUCUUUCUGUGUUUUUAAAGCUUUAAUUGUGUUUACAGUGCGCAAGUGUUCAUGUUUCACGUGUAAAAAACGCGUUAUUUUUCCACACAAUUUACUUAUCUGUAUUCAAAACAGGGCUGAUGUCUUCUUUGUUCUAUGAAGUCCCUCCUUCAGAAAUACAUAACUAGUUCUGAUUGUGUAGUUUGUUUAGUGUGUUGUGAUCCGAUAGCAGCUUAGCUUGCCGUUAGCGUAGCUGGCGACUGACGUAUUUCUGUGGGCGGAGUUUAGUAAAAAAAAUGUUCUGGUGACGUCAUUAAAGCAGGAAGUAGAGGGCUGUAGUCCAAACCGACCGUUGGCUGUAGGCUUUGAAAGGCGAAUUCUGAAGAAAAUAUAUCGCCUGGCAGUGAACUUUGAGCUUUAUCAUUUUACAGGUGUGGUUUAACAAUGCAGUUGCUCUGUGAUCAUGGCUCACCGAACGUAUCGUCACAUUCCCUCUGGGUCAUGUCACUUUGAGUAAGGGUCCCUACGUGACCGGCUGCAUACAAUUUGCAGAGUGAGUUCAAGUAAAUUUGUCAACAGUUUGUCAGACCAAUGACCUUCCACCAAAAGCAAGGCUGUGCAAGUGCAAGUGACCAAGUAAUCAUGCAAUGAAAGACACAUCUACCAGGCCAGCAUGGUUUCAGGGACUGAAUCUUUAGUAGG